This 5706-nucleotide long non-coding RNA is filed under the name Sus scrofa (pig). RNAcentral's name for it is "lncRNA (ENSSSCG00050034353.1)". The record is from RNAcentral. Lineage: Eukaryota; Metazoa; Chordata; Mammalia; Artiodactyla; Suidae.
UAGAACAGAACUCUGGUUUUCAUUCCAUUCACUUAUUAAAAAAUGUUUUAGAUCCUUUCGUUGUGCAAGUUUUAUGCUUAGAUAGCAUAUCAGGGUAGAAGAUAUAGUUUUGCUUGUGAAAUAUGAAGUGAUGGAAAGAAUACUCAAAGGGGAAAAAUAAAGAACAGGAAAGUCAGCAAGGAGUCAGGGUUCAGAAAGGAUCCUGUAUUAUAAGCAGGCAUGCCCUGCUCUUCUUCUACUCCAAGGUCCAAAAGAGUGAAGAGGGCUCCGACUCUCCAUGCGGUGGCAGCUUAGCAUUUGAGAGGCUGUGGGGAGAGAUGUAGGUGCAGAAGUGAGCAGAAGUCAAAUGAUGAAGCCCCUUAUGGGGUGAAUAUCACAAUGACCUAUCCCAGCGUGAGUGAGGCUCUAUUGGACAGGGAUGGAGAGAAAUUUGAGGGGUGGUCAAGUUCUUUUUCAUCGUAAUUACCACUUGCCUGUUUAUGGGUGGCAUCUAGCAGUGGUGUCAAUUAAGGUCAGAGCAGUGAACAAUUUGCACUUGUCACACUGUUCCUCCGUUUGAACCUCAAAGGCAGCAGAACAAUGACAGUCAUCAAGUUCAAGGUAAACUUUCACUGAGGGACAGCAUGACUCCUGACAAAACACUCCUUGAGGAUAUGGGCUUUGGAAAAUUUGUUUGCUGCCUAAUUGUUUUGAUAGGAACACCAUUGAUUCCCCAUCACCAGUUAGGUUCACCAUUGAUUUCCCAUUGGGCAUGUGCACAGAGAAACAAGUCUUGCAUUCUUCCCUCAUGGGGAAGAAAACUGAAAUACCAGGAGCUUGGAUCAUAUCUUCCAUUCAAUUUUGAAAACAUGUUUGGAUCACAUCAAUUCUGAGAGACCGUGUUUGAAAUCAUUGCCCUUAUGGUAUUUUUAUUGCAUAAAAUGAUCCAAAAUAAAGAGCUGUAAAUUUGAUUUUUCUGAGUUUGGGGGGCUGCACCUGUGGUAUGCAGAAGUUAACAAGCCAGGGAUCAAACCUGCGCCAGAGCAGUGACCUGAGCCACAACAGUGACAACCCUAGAUCCUUAACCCACUAGGCCACCUGGGAACUUGCCUAAAUUUAAUUUGCUGAAUAGUACAUCUAAGCUAUUAAAGAAUUAAGUCAUUUUUUUCCUCUUGAAUUUUUUACAAGCAGUAUUGAACUGUGGUCAUUAUUGAACUAACGGCAGUCAGUUUUCUUGCCUUUGACAUCAUCCAUCUGACACUUCUCAAAUACAGAGACUGCUGUAAAGACUCAGGAUCUGAACUUAAACAGAGGAUUCUUUGUUGUUAGCUUUAUAUCUUUUCUAUCACCAAUGAAUGAUAACACCAUCUCACCAUGGUCAGGGUCAUCUGUUUAUUUUCUUAUCCCAGUUCAGAUGACUAAAAGCACAACAAAUGAUUAUUAAUGAUAGCACAACAACUCUAAAAAUAACUGAGCCCUAGCUACUCCCUUUUUGACUCAUCCCCCCAAAUUCACCUGUCUAUGUGAUAAAUGAUUCAUGUGAGGGUCCAAAGUCAGUCUUCAGGAUAUAAGCCCACCCUUUAGGUAAAAAGAUUCUAUAACAGAGAAAGAACUGAAAGGCAAAACAAACAUGUACUUAUAAAAAUUUCUUUCAUGUAUUUAAUUUUCAUAAGUCAUAAAUACAUAUCUGGUAUAAGAUUGACAUGUACUCUGAACUAUGGGCAAUGGGGACAAUAAAAAAAUCAAAAUUUCUGUCUCCUUUAAAUCUUAUCAAAUGCUUAUUAUUUAAUUAUCUCAUUUAAUCUUGUCAACAGUACUGUGUGACUGAUACUGUAAACCUGUCCAUCAAGUUUGGAGAUGGUUAGAUGGCUAUUCAGAGAGGCAAACGGGGUUCCCCAGGGGAAGGAUCUGAGUGAAGGCAGUACCCUUUCACGCCAGCGUUCCCUGUGCUCUUUCAUCACAGCAGUCCGCCUCCAACAUUUAGAGAGGUAGUUUUUGUGAAACGUAACAUUCUUCUUUCUAUAAACUACUGUAUUAGUUUCCUAGGGCCUCCCUAGCAAAUUACUAUGAACUAGGUGACUUAAAGCAACUGAAAUUUAUAAUCCUUCAGUUUUGCAGGCUACAUGUCCAAGUCAAGGUGUUGGUGUGAUGAGGGGUCCUUUGCAGGGUGUGGGGAAGCAUCCUUCCUUGCCUCGUCCAACUUCCCCACGGCUCCUGGUAUUCCAUGGUUUGUGGCAGCUCAACUCCAUUCUCUGCCUCUGUCUUCACACGGCUUCUUCCCUGUAUGUCCAUGUGUCCUUUUGUCUCUCUUGUAAAGACAUUCUCGGGGAGUUCCCGUCGUGGCUCAGUGGUUAACGAAUCUGACUAGGAAGCAUGAGGUUGAGGGUUCGAUCCCUGCCCUUGCUCAGUGGGUUAAGGAUCCGGCGUUGCCGUGAGCUAUGGUGUAGGUCACAGACGCGGCUCGGAUCCUGCGUUGCUGUGGCUCUGGCAUAGGCUGACAGCUACAGCUCCGAUUAGACCCCUAGCCUGGGAACCUCCCAUAUGCCGCGGGAGCAGCCCAAGAAAUGGCAAAAAGACAAAAAAAAAAAAAGACAUUCUCAUCAAUUCAGCAUCUCCUCUAAUCCAGUAUGAUCUCCCCUUGGUCUUUUCAUUAAUUAACACCUGCAAAGAUCCUAUUUCCAAAUAGAGUUAUGUUCUCAGGUUCCGAGUGUACAUAAAUCUGGGGGGAGGGCAUUAUUCAACCCAUUACAAUUGUAAUUCUUAUUUCUAUUACAAUAGGAAAAUUAGAGUAUUGAUGAACAUUAAUAUCAAAUAAUAAACAUGAUUUAAGUCUUGCUAUUUUUGAUGGUCAAUUGAUUGCCCAAAGUUUAAAAUUUGGGGCUCUUCAUGAACUCCAGAUCAUGUGUGCUUUGAAUCUCUAUUUUACCAAAAAGUAGCAUAAUACUAUCUCACUAGUGCUUAUGGUGUAAUAUUUUUUUUUCUUUUUGCUUUUUAGGGCUGCACCCAUGGCAUAUGGAGGUUCCCAGGCUAGGGGUUGAAUCCGAGCUGUAGCCUCUGGGCUUUGCCAUAGCCACAGCAACAUCAAAUCCAAGCCAUGUCUGUGAGCUGCAUGGCUACACCAUAGCUCAGGGCCGCGCUGGAUCCUUAACCCAUUGAGCAAGUCCAGGGAUCAAACCUGCAUCCUCAUGGAUGCUAGCCAGAUUCCUUUCCACUGAGCCUCAAUGGGAACUCCAUAUUGCCUCUUUUUAUGCUAUGUAUCUUUUUAACAUAUUCCUUGUAUCCUGCUUUAUUCUUAAAAUAUAAAAAUAUAGAUAUUUUAUGUUUUUCAUGGUCUUCAUAAAUAUUUUUGUAGCUGCAUAACAUAUCAGCAAGGGUAGAUUUUAUAUACAAAUUUCCCCAUUGUGGACAUAUAAAUUGUUUCAAAUAUUUUUAGGAUUGUAAAUAAUGCUCAGAUGGAUCAUUUUUCAGUAAAGAUAUCUCCCAAAAGGAAAUAUGCUGCUCUCUAGAUAUAUUUUUAUUAUCUUUUUCUUGUUUAUAUUGAUCUGUAUCAAAAGUUUAAUAUUUUUUACAUUCCUGAAUUAUAUUGCAAAUGUGUUUUCCAAAAUGGUUUGCCAAUUUACAUUUCUGUAUGUAGCAUUCAGUGUCCUCAUUGAACUGAAUCCCUGAGAGCAUUAAAAUUCUAGCAGUAUUAAAAUGUUUUUUCAACCAUUACUAGUUUUGCAAACAAAAAAUAGAAUCUUACUUUACUUUUAAUUAACAUUCCUUUUAGCAAGCAUUUUAAUGUUUUUUAGACAAUAUUUUUUUUUGAGUUGCUUAUUGCUGUUCUGAGAUGAGUUGUAUCCUAAAUUCCUGCGUUGAAGUCCUCACCCCUUAUACCUCAAAAUGUGACUGUAUUUGGAGAUAAGGACUUUAAAGAGAUAGUAAGGGAAAAUGAGGUCAUAUGGGUGGGUCCUAAUUCAAUAUGACUAGUAUCCUUAUACAAAGAGAUUAGGACACAGGAAGCACGAAGACCAAGAGAGAACCAUGUAGGACACAGAAAGAAAGCAUCCAUCUUUACGCAGAGGAGAGAGAUCCCAGAAGAAACCCAACCUGCCAGCAGCUAGAUCUCAGACUUCUGGCUUCUAGAACUGUGAGAUAAUAAAUUUCUGUUCCUUAAACCAUUCAGCCUGUAGUAUUUUGUUAUAGCACCUCUAGCAAAAUAAAACAGUGUUUCUUGCCAAUUUAUUUAUUAGGGUCUUAGAGCGUUUCUUCUUCAUUUGUACAGACUCUUUAAAAAAACUUUUUUUGGAGUAUAGUUAACUUACAAUGUUGUAUUAGUUUCACGUGUACAGCAAAGUCAACCAGUUUAUAUAUAGAGAGAGAGAAAGAGAAAGAGAGGGAGAGAGAAUCUAUUUAUCUAGAGAUCAUAUGAAUUAAUAUACAUAAAUUCAUUCUUUUAUCUGUAUAGCUUAUUACAAGCUAUAGAGUAGAUUUCCCUGUGCUUUGCAGUAGAUUCUUAUUGAGUGAAAUAAAUCAGACGGAGAAGGAUAAAUAUUGUAUGAUAUUGCUUAUAUGUAGAAUCUAAUAAAAAUUAUACAAAAUAACUUAUAAAACAAAACAAACUCACACAUUUCAAAACCAAUCUUAUGGUGACCAUAGGGAAAAUAGAAACAAACUUACAGCUUUCAAAACCACUCCUAUGGUUACCAUAGGGGAAACCAUUGGGGGUGGGGGAGGGGAUUAGGAGAGUGGGAAUAACACAUACAAGCUCUUUUUAUGUUAAACAUAUUUAUGUAUUUAUUGUUUCCUUUUUGCACUUCUUACAAAGUGAUUCUUUGGUUUUUCCAUGUUUUCCUCUUUUUUUAGCUUACAACAUGUGUGUAUUUAAUUUUUUCCCAUAAUUAUUCAUCUUUUCUAUAUGCUUUUCUUCCUGGUACUUCAAAGCCUGAAAAGUCUUUUUCCUUUAAGUGAUUUUAUACACUGUCAGUUCUAGUUUUUGUUAGUUUUUCUGUGACUUGAAGUUGACCUGUAUAAUAUAACUAUUUUCCAUGUUUGAGAAUGCAGACUUACAAAAGUUGGUGAAUUUCAAAUGUACAGAGCAAAGCUUUCUUUAAGAUUUUUAUGUCAUGCCCAGAACCCAGUCUUCUUUAUUUGAAAUGACCUAUUUAAGAUAACAGUUAUUUUCAGUGGCUUUUACUUCAUUUUGAAAACCUGCAUUGUAAAAUGGAACAAUAACCUCAUUUUUUAAAUCUUCAAUUUUGUUAAGAUCAACUGUUAUAAAGACAAAGAACCUCAAGACAAAGAAUGGCUACAGUUCUCUGAAAUCUGUUCAGUGUCUGAAGUUCUACUGAAAUCUUUCAAGUUAAGGACAUGAUGUCUUGUAAGAUGAAAAAAAAUAUUUCCUCCUGCUUUUUCUUGUUUUCAUUUGUGAUUCUGGUGCUAAGAAAAAAUUUAUUCUUUUAUGGAUUGUUUUUUCCAAAGUUUCUGCUUCUUUCUUUUUUUUCCUGUGAAGAUCUUUCUAGAACUUGUUUAGAAAUAUUCAUUGUAUUUCUUUGUUUUUGCUCUCAGGCCCCAUUAAAAAGGCCAUCUCUUCAAGACACUGAUAGUUCUUUUGUUGGUGGUGUUCAUUUCAAAAUAUAAAACUGUCUUGACUUGUGAGCUAAAAUUAUCUGACAAUUAUGGAAUUUAUCCUGAGUUGAACUGUCUUAUGUCAGUGCAGAAUAGUUAAAAAAAAAAAAAAAAAAAAAA